This 329-nucleotide unclassified non-coding RNA is filed under the name soil metagenome. RNAcentral's name for it is "partial contains 5.8S ribosomal RNA, internal transcribed spacer 2, and large subunit ribosomal RNA". The stretch from base 1 to 120 matches the Rfam family "5.8S ribosomal RNA", at positions 35 to 154 of the family's 154-position model. The record is from RNAcentral.
GAUGAAGAACGUAGCUAAAUGCGAUAAGUAAUGUGAAUUGCAGAAUUCAGUGAAUCAUCGAAUCUUUGAACGCACAUUGCGCCCCUUGGUAUUCCGAGGGGCAUGCCUGUUCGAGCGUCAUUAUAACCCCUCAAGCUCAGCUUGGUGUUGGGGCCUGCUGCACUGGCAGCCCUUAAAAUCAGUGGCGGCGCCAUCUGGCUCUAAGCGUAGUAAUUCUUCUCGCUAUGGAGUCCUGGUGGAUGCUUGCCAUCAACCCCCAAUUUUUCUAUGGUUGACCUCGGAUCAGGUAGGGAUACCCGCUGAACUUAAGCAUAUCAAUAAGCGGAGGA